GGGGGCGUAAUGGUUUCGACGUGGGUUUGGCACUUGAGGCUGCGUGUCGUGUUACUCUGGGUCACGUAAAAACUGGGGAACUUAAAAUAAACGCAAACGAUAAUUACGCUUUAGCAGCAUAAUGACUGCUCGUCCCGCCUAAGCCCUCCUGCCGGCCAGGCCUGGACGUCAUUUAUGCAGGGAACUACUUUCGGGGUGUCUCGACCGAGAGUGGACUAAUUGGGACUGGUCAAUCACAGAGCCUGCCACUGUGCGAUGUGUGCGACGAGAUUUAAAAAUCAGAUGGCUACGCACGUAGACGCAGCGAGGAAAGGACUUGCGGACAGGGGUUCGACUCCCCUCGUCUCCACCA
Non-coding RNA from Clostridium sp., 352 nucleotides. It matches the Rfam family "transfer-messenger RNA". From Rfam's summary of the family: Bacterial tmRNA, also known as 10Sa RNA or SsrA, is named for its dual tRNA and mRNA-like properties. Its role is to liberate the mRNA from a stalled ribosome. To accomplish this part of the tmRNA is used as a reading frame that ends in a translation stop signal. NCBI's taxonomy places the organism in Bacteria, Bacillati, Bacillota, Clostridia, Eubacteriales, Clostridiaceae. The record is from Rfam.